AGAUUGAACGCUGGCGGCAUGCCUAACACAUGCAAGUCGAACGGGAGUAGCAAUACUCUAGUGGCGGACGGGUGAGGAAUACGUAGGAAUUUGCCCUUAAGUGGGGGAUAACCCGGGGAAACCCGGAUUAAUACCGCAUGACCUCGAAAGAGCAAAGUGGGGGAUCGCAAGACCUCACGCUUUUGGAGAAGCCUGCGUCGGAUUAGCUAGUUGGUGAGGUAAUGGCUCACCAAGGCGACGAUCCGUAACUGGUCUGAGAGGAUGAUCAGUCACACCGGAACUGAGACACGGUCCGGACUCCGUACGGGAGCAGCA
This 315-nucleotide ribosomal RNA is filed under the name uncultured soil bacterium. Its description in RNAcentral is "bacterial SSU rRNA". It matches the Rfam family "Bacterial small subunit ribosomal RNA", at positions 26 to 353 of the family's 1533-position model. The record is from RNAcentral.